Poecilia reticulata (guppy) is the source of this 142-nucleotide non-coding RNA. Lineage: Eukaryota; Metazoa; Chordata; Actinopteri; Cyprinodontiformes; Poeciliidae. The record is from RefSeq and is a predicted model, not a curated record.
AGAUGCAGCAGCUGACACCGCCGGUGCCAGAGGGAGCGGUCGGGUUUCAUGUCGGUUCUCAGAGGGACGGGAAGCGAGGAUGCCUCCAUUCAAGCAGUACAAAGACAUUAAAACGCCCGCCUUACAUCCGCCGCAAAACUAA